Nematostella vectensis (starlet sea anemone) is the source of this 717-nucleotide long non-coding RNA. RefSeq lists it as uncharacterized. The record is from RefSeq and is a predicted model, not a curated record. The transcript has 3 exons. NCBI's taxonomy places the organism in Eukaryota, Metazoa, Cnidaria, Anthozoa, Actiniaria, Edwardsiidae.
CGUGGGCGACUAAGCACAGGAGAAGAAAAGGCUAAAGGCGGCGACACAAGAGACAUCACAUGCACGUACGCGACUAAGCACAGGAGAAGAAAAGGCUAAAGGCGGCGACACAAGAGAUGUCACAUGCACGUGCGCGACUAAGCACAGGAGAAGAAAAGGCUAAAGGCGGCGACACAAGAGAUGUCACAUGCACGUGCGCGACUAAGCACAAGAGAAGAAAAGGCUAAAGGCGGCGACACAAGAGAUGUCACAUGCACGUACGCGACUAAGCAAGGAGAAGAAAAGGCUAAAGGCGGCGACACAAGAGAUGUCACAUGCACGUGGGCGACUAAGCACAGGAGAAGAAAAGGCUAAAGGCGGCGACACAAGAGAUGUCACAUGCACGUGGGCGACUAAGCACAGGAGAAGAAAAGGCUAAAGGCGGCGACACAAGAGAUGUCACAUGCACGUGCGCGACUAAGCAAGGAGAAGAAAAGGCUAAAGGCGGCGACACAAGAGAUGUCACAUGCACGUGGGCGACUAAGCACAGGAGAAGAAAAGGCUAAAGGCGGCGACACAAGAGAUGUCACAUGCACGUGGGCGACUAAGCACAGGAGAAGAAAAGGCUAAAGGCGGCGACACAAGAGAUGUCACAUGCACGUGCGCGACUAAGCAAGGAGAGGAAAAGGCUAAAGGCGGCGACACAAGAGAUGUCACAUGCACGUGCGCGACUAAGCA